UAAAGCAGAGGGUCAUUGGUGUCAGUGAUGUUCACAGGCUGGACUCUGAUGCAGCUGUAAAAACCCCAUUUAGCUGUCAAAUAAUCAUAGAUUUAUAAAGUGUGUGUGCUUCUGUAAUCUUAUGUCACCGGAUAUUAGAUGAUCGCGAUAACGGCGAGGCGCAAACUAAGAGAAUUGCCACCCACCUGAUGACUGACACUGGAGCCCCUGCACCCCAUAAUAACCAUGAAGAGUUCAAUCUUCAUCUCAUGGACUCGCAAGAUUUCCUUCAUUCUCAAAGAGGAACUCCUCCUCUCAACCCCGACCCCGAACGCCUCCUCCUCCACCUCCCUCCACUGGGAGCCGGUCGCUGGGAAACAAGAUGGAAGUGGUGGGAAAGCUGUGAUGCAGAGAAGGAUGGGGUGUUAGACGAGUGGAGAGGGAAUGACACCGACGGAUGGAGAUGCAACGUGACAAAGAAACAGAGAAUGACAGAAAAAGAAAUAUGAGGAAGAGGAAAACUGAAAAAAAUGAGCACAAGAUCAGAGAGAGGUUAAUAGUUCAGGCUUGUUUACUUGAGUUCACAUUUCCCUCACUUCAAAAGGUCAUUUAGCACCAACAAACACCAUGUGCUUCAACAUGAGUUUCCUUCUUUGUCAUAUUUGCUUGCAUUUUAAAAUAUAAACAGUCUUAAUUAUGAGAUCCUGACAUGCAUACUCACUCCUGAUCCUAAUUAUUACACCAUUUUUCCAUAAUUAUGAGAUAAAGCAAAGGAAUUCAUUGUGGAUAGAAUUCAGAAGUAGCUUAAGAAUCCUCCAGAUUUUCAUAUUUCUUCAUUCUAAAAAAUCAAAGUGAUUCAGUGAAAGUUGUCAGGAUAUAUAAUUUAGUACGUAGCGAAAAGAAGCUGAUCAUUUUAUCAUCAUGCACAUGUACGCUGUCUAAAAAAUGACAUUAGAACACGAUACAGUACGUGUUACAUUCUGCAGUAAAAGAUGUGCCGGGUAUUUUGUUUUAAAUUUGGAUUUAGUUAGAUUACGUCUCUAAAAAAUAAUUUCAACAAAGCACAGCAAUGGUUUUGUCAUCAGUGUAUUAAGAGAGCAAUAAAAGUGAUUAAAUAUUACAAUAAAACUAGAAAAGCACUCAGAGA
Amphiprion ocellaris (clown anemonefish) is the source of this 1126-nucleotide long non-coding RNA. RefSeq lists it as uncharacterized. The transcript has 2 exons. NCBI's taxonomy places the organism in Eukaryota, Metazoa, Chordata, Actinopteri, Pomacentridae. The record is from RefSeq and is a predicted model, not a curated record.